This 327-nucleotide long non-coding RNA is filed under the name Equus caballus (horse). RNAcentral describes it as "lncRNA (ENSECAG00000052972.1)". The record is from RNAcentral. Lineage: Eukaryota; Metazoa; Chordata; Mammalia; Perissodactyla; Equidae.
AGGGAGAACCAUAGGAGACUCUUAGUGGAGCAGAGUAAGCAUGGGUUGCUCCUGGAGACAAAAAGGACUCCGGAAGAAGGGGACCUGACUGGAGGAGCAGGGCAGGUUGGAGGAGGAGGAGCCGGCAAUCCUUGCAUCAGCCUCUAGGCGGAGUUCAACAUUCUUCUCUUGGAGGAAGAGCUCAAGAACCAGUGGAAUUCUCACAGCCACCAUACAAAGGAUAAUUCUCAUUACAAUUUUUUUCUUCUUGGUAAUGAAAAGGAAAAUAAAUGCAUAUCUAUUAAACUAUAAGAUGUUUGUUUGUGUGCCCCUGAAAUUAUCGUGGGG